RNAcentral lists this transfer RNA (72 nucleotides) under Penaeus vannamei (Pacific white shrimp). RNAcentral describes it as "Litopenaeus vannamei (Pacific white shrimp) tRNA". It matches the Rfam family "tRNA". From Rfam's summary of the family: Transfer RNA (tRNA) molecules are approximately 80 nucleotides in length. Their secondary structure includes four short double-helical elements and three loops (D, anti-codon, and T loops). Lineage: Eukaryota; Metazoa; Arthropoda; Malacostraca; Decapoda; Penaeidae. The record is from Rfam by way of RNAcentral.
GCCUAGAUAGAUCAGUUGGGAGAGCGUUAGACUGAAGAUCUAAAGGUCCCCGGUUCGAUCCGGGUCUGGGCA